Molecule: ribosomal RNA, 483 nt
Filed under: uncultured bacterium
Lineage: Bacteria
Description: partial 16S ribosomal RNA
Rfam family: Bacterial small subunit ribosomal RNA
Source: RNAcentral
AUUGAACGCUGGCGGCAUGCUUUACACAUGCAAGUCGAACGGCAGCGCGGGCUUCGGCCUGGCGGCGAGUGGCGAACGGGUGAGUAAUACAUCGGAACGUGCCCAGUAGUGGGGGAUAGCUCGGCGAAAGCCGGAUUAAUACCGCAUACGACCUGAGGGUGAAAGCGGGGGAUCUUCGGACCUCGCGCUAUUGGAGCGGCCGAUGGCAGAUUAGCUAGUUGGUGGGGUAAAGGCCUACCAAGGCGACGAUCUGUAGCUGGUCUGAGAGGACGACCAGCCACACUGGGACUGAGACACGGCCCAGACUCCUACGGGAGGCAGCAGUGGGGAAUUUUGGACAAUGGGCGAAAGCCUGAUCCAGCAAUGCCGCGUGGGUGAUGAAGGCCUUCGGGUUGUAAAGCACUUUUGGCGGGAACGAAAAGGACUGUGCCAAGACCACGGUUCGAUGACGGUACCCGCAGAAUAAGCACCGGCUAACUACGU